Molecule: ribosomal RNA, 497 nt
Filed under: uncultured bacterium
Lineage: Bacteria
Description: partial 16S ribosomal RNA
Rfam family: Bacterial small subunit ribosomal RNA
Source: RNAcentral
GAUGAACGCUGGCGGCGUGCCUAAUACAUGCAAGUCGAGCGAACAGACGAGGAGCUUGCUCCUCUGACGUUAGCGGCGGACGGGUGAGUAACACGUGGAUAACCUACCUAUAAGACUGGGAUAACUUCGGGAAACCGGAGCUAAUACCGGAUAAUAUAUUGAACCGCAUGGUUCAAUAGUGAAAGACGGUUUUGCUGUCACUUAUAGAUGGAUCCGCGCCGCAUUAGCUAGUUGGUAAGGUAACGGCUUACCAAGGCAACGAUGCGUAGCCGACCUGAGAGGGUGAUCGGCCACACUGGAACUGAGACACGGUCCAGACUCCUACGGGAGGGAGCAGUAGGGAAUCUUCCGCAAAGGGCGAAAGCUUGACGGAGCAACGCCGCGUGAGUGAUGAAGGUCUUCGGAUCGUAAAACUCUGUUAUUAGGGAAGAACAAAUGUGUAAGUAACUAUGCACGUCUUGACGGUACCUAAUCAGAAAGCCACGGCUAACUACGUG